This 401-nucleotide ribosomal RNA is filed under the name uncultured eukaryote. RNAcentral's name for it is "partial 18S ribosomal RNA". It matches the Rfam family "Eukaryotic small subunit ribosomal RNA", at positions 592 to 976 of the family's 1831-position model. The record is from RNAcentral.
CAGUAGCGUAUAUUUAAGUUGUUGCAGUUAAAAAGCUCGUAGUUGGAUUUCUGAUAUGAUGCGCCUUGCCCGCUUGGUCUAUUUUCAAUGGCCUUGCGAGUGCCGGUGCGCGUCUAUCAUCCUUCCGGAGAUGCAUAUCUACCAUUCACUUGGCCGGGUAUGCAAUCUGGAUCGUUUACUUUGAAAAAAUUAGAGUGUUCAAAGCAGGCUUGAUAUGCCGUGAAUACAUUAGCAUGGAAUAAUAAGAUAGGACUUCGGUUCUAUUUUGUUGGUUUCUAGGACUGAAGUAAUGAUUGAUAGGGAUAGUUGGGGGUGCUAGUAUUCAACGGCCAGAGGUGAAAUUCUUGGAUUCGUUGAAGACUAACUUAUGCGAAAGCAUUCACCAAGGAUGUCUUCUUUAA